GCCUGAAUAGCUCAGAUGGUAGAGCAGCGCAUUCGUAACGCGCAGGUCGUCAGUUCGAUUCUGGCUUCAGGCA
RNAcentral lists this transfer RNA (73 nucleotides) under Chlamydiota bacterium. RNAcentral's name for it is "Chlamydiae bacterium tRNA-Thr". It matches the Rfam family "tRNA". Rfam says of the family: Transfer RNA (tRNA) molecules are approximately 80 nucleotides in length. Their secondary structure includes four short double-helical elements and three loops (D, anti-codon, and T loops). RNAcentral also lists the same sequence under 1 other name. Lineage: Bacteria; Pseudomonadati; Chlamydiota. The record is from RNAcentral.